This 484-nucleotide ribosomal RNA is filed under the name uncultured bacterium. Its description in RNAcentral is "partial 16S ribosomal RNA". It matches the Rfam family "Bacterial small subunit ribosomal RNA", at positions 30 to 507 of the family's 1533-position model. The record is from RNAcentral.
AUUGAACGCUGGCGGCAGGCCUAACACAUGCAAGUCGAGCGGAUGAAGGGAGCUUGCUCCUGGAUUCAGCGGCGGACGGGUGAGUAAUGCCUAGGAAUCUGCCUGGUAGUGGGGGAUAACGUCCGGAAACGGGCGCUAAUACCGCAUACGCCCUGAGGGAGAAAGUGGGGGAUCUUCGGACCUCACGCUAUCAGAUGAGCCUAGGUCGGAUUAGCUAGUUGGUGGGGUAAAGGCCUACCAAGGCGACGAUCCGUAACUGGUCUGAGAGGAUGAUCAGUCACACUGGAACUGAGACACGGUCCAGACUCCUACGGGAGGCAGCAGUGGGGAAUAUUGGACAAUGGGCGAAAGCCUGAUCCAGCCAUGCCGCGUGUGUGAAGAAGGUCUUCGGAUUGUAAAGCACUUUAAGUUGGGAGGAGGGGCAGUAAGUUAAUACCUUGCUGUUUUGACGUUACCAACAGAAUAAGCACCGGCUAACUUCGUG